Molecule: ribosomal RNA, 460 nt
Filed under: uncultured bacterium
Lineage: Bacteria
Description: partial 16S ribosomal RNA
Rfam family: Bacterial small subunit ribosomal RNA
Source: RNAcentral
CCUACGGGAGGCAGCAGUGAGGAAUAUUGGUCAAUGGACGAGAGUCUGAACCAGCCAAGUAGCGUGAAGGAUGACUGCCCUAUGGGUUGUAAACUUCUUUUAUAAAGGAAUAAAACGAGGCACGUGUGCCUUUUUGCAUGUACUUUAUGAAUAAGGAUCGGCUAACUCCGUGCCAGCAGCCGCGGUAAUACGGAGGAUCCGAGCGUUAUCCGGAUUUAUUGGGUUUAAAGGGAGCGUAGAUGGGUUGUUAAGUCAGUUGUGAAAGUUUGCGGCUCAACCGUAAAAUUGCAAUUGAUACUGGCAGUCUAGAGUACAGUUGAGGUAGGCGGAAUUCGUGGUGGAGCGGUGAAAUGCUUAGAUAUCACGAAGAACCCCGAUUGCGAAGGCAGCUUACUAAACUGUGACUGACAUUGAUGCUCGAAAGUGUGGGUAUCAAACAGGAUUAGAUACCCGGGUAGUC